Molecule: ribosomal RNA, 349 nt
Filed under: uncultured bacterium
Lineage: Bacteria
Description: bacterial SSU rRNA
Rfam family: Bacterial small subunit ribosomal RNA
Source: RNAcentral
UGAGCAGUAUUGUUUAAAAUGGAUUGAACGAGAGAGUUUGAUCCUGGCUCAGAUUGAACGCUGGCGGCAUGCCUAACACAUGCAAGUCGAACGGUAGCAGGCCUUCGGGUGCUGACGAGUGGCGGACGGGUGAGUAAUGCGUAGGAAUCUGUCUUUUAGUGGGGGACAACCCAGGGAAACUUGGGCUAAUACCGCAUGAGCCCUGAGGGGGAAAGCGGGGGAUCUUCGGACCUCGCGCUAAAGNGAAGAGCCUACGUCUGAUUAGCUAGUUGGUAGGGUAAAGGCUACCAAGGCGACGAUCAGUAGCUGGUCUGAGAGGACGACCAGCCACACUGGGACUGAGACACGG